UACGGAGGAUGCAAGCGUUAUCCGGAUUUAUUGGGUUUAAAGGGUGCGUAGGCGGGUUUUUAAGCGUGAGGUGAAAUGCUCCGGCUCAACCGGAGAACUGCCUCGCGAACUGGGGACCUUGAAUGACACUGCCGUGGGAGGAAUGUGUGGUGUAGCGGUGAAAUGCAUAGAGAUCACACAGAACACCGAUUGCGAAGGCAUCUCACGAAGUGUUGAUUGACGCUGAGGCACGAAAGCGUGGGGAUCAAAC
This 250-nucleotide ribosomal RNA is filed under the name uncultured prokaryote. Its description in RNAcentral is "partial 16S ribosomal RNA". It matches the Rfam family "Bacterial small subunit ribosomal RNA", at positions 524 to 773 of the family's 1533-position model. The record is from RNAcentral.